AUGGCCAUUUCCGAAGUUUACCAUGCCCUGGUUCCACAUGAAUCUUAUGCCUCCACUUUGUUCGGCUCCACAGAGCUGCGUCAAGGGCUGGGAGAAGGAGGAAGAGGAGGAGGAGAAGCAGGAGGAGGAGGAGCAGGAGGAGGAGGAGAGGACCCGGCCUCCAAGGCCAAAAUGAAUCAUGAUGUGAAAAGCUUUGUUCUCUAUGAGCAACAUGUCAACCUUCAUCAGACUGCCUGUGUAAGGAUCUCAUUAUACCGCACGGACAAGGGAACCUUGCCAAAGUGAUUCCAAACCAGGGACAUUUGGUCCUGUAAAAACCCAUGGAAGAAGGUACUAAAAAAUAUUUGAAGUCUUACAGUAUUAGAGGAUGAGUUACAACAAAGUUAAUUGAGUUCAUCUCUCUCAUUUAUUACCUCUCCAAAUUAUGAAAGCAUUAAGUACUGUGUACUCUAUUAAUUAGUUUUCUCACCCAGCUUUAUUGAUAAACAAUUGACAAAUAAAAUCGUAAGAUAUUUAAAGCAUAUAAUAUGGUGACUUGACAUUCAUAAGUUGAGAGUAUUCCCUCAUUGUGUUCAUUAGCACAUCUAUCACCUCACACGUUUACUUUCCUUUUUUAUUUUUCUAAUGUUUAAAAUUUUUUAAUUUUUAAAGUUUUGUUAUUUUCCUUGAGAGAGACAGAGACAGAGAGAGUGUGCAUAUGGGAUGGAGAUAGGUAGGGGGCAAGGGAAAGAGAGAAUCCUAAGCUUGCUCCAGCAGAGGGGCUCAAUCUCACAACCCUGAAAUCAUGACCUGAGCUGAAAUCAAGAGUUAGACACUUAACUGACUUAACCACUCAGGCACCCCUACCUUUUCUUUUUUUCUUGAGAAAACAUUUAAGCUCUACAGUCUUGGCAAAUUUCAGUUACACAGUACAGUGUUAUCGACCAUGAUCACCAUGUUAUACAUUAGAUCCUCAGACCUUAUUUAUCUCCUAAUGGAAAGUUUGUACCUUUUACCAGUCUCUCCCUAUUUCUUUCAACCCCUAGCCCUUGGCAAUUACUUUUCUACUUUGUUUCCUCUACUCAAGUUAUAAGCGAUCUCAUGAGUUGUCUUUCUCUGCUCUAUUGACCAGUUUGGGGUAGAGAACAGACACGUCUUCCUACUUUUGGAAGGAAAUCAAGGCUGUGGGGUAUGUCUAGAUCACUUAACUAUUUAACCCAAAGAACAUGAAAAGUUACCAUGAAAGUUAAGAAAGAAUCUUGCAAGAGUCCUACACUUGGUCCUGAUCCUCUGCUCCUUUGGUGACUACUGUUCCUUGCCCCUGCUGAGGAUUUGAGAAUUGAGACACACUGGCAGGGGAGGAAGCCUGUGGGAAAAAUAUUCUCAUCAUUAACUGGUUCAGUAAGGUCUAUUAUAGGAGGCUCAAGUUAC
RNAcentral lists this long non-coding RNA (1410 nucleotides) under Canis lupus familiaris (dog). RNAcentral describes it as "lncRNA (ENSCAFG00040018345.1)". The record is from RNAcentral. Lineage: Eukaryota; Metazoa; Chordata; Mammalia; Carnivora; Canidae.